Molecule: ribosomal RNA, 1122 nt
Filed under: Triticum aestivum (bread wheat)
Lineage: Eukaryota; Viridiplantae; Streptophyta; Magnoliopsida; Poales; Poaceae
Description: partial small subunit ribosomal RNA
Source: RNAcentral
AUGCCAAUCACUGUGCUGGUACUGCCAGUUCGAUCCGAGGAGCUAAAUAAGAUAGCAGCCGAGAAGCUCGAAGAGGCAAGGGCUAGCGAUCAGCCAGAACCUUUAUUUAUUCGUCCUUCAGCAUGGCGGUAUUCCAAUGCCUAUGCUCAAAACCGGAAACCCAGCCUAACAGAAGCUGAGCAGGAUGGUAAUGUAUGGCGUGUUUGUUUCUCCAAUCACUCCUCUAGUAAUGAAUUAGAGCAGGCACUGCAACUUCUACAGCCUCAGUGGGUCAUUUCAACCACUCCCCCAAAUUUUGCGAGUGAACUGAGUUAUGUAAGGAGACGCUAUUUAUCGCACACCACACAGGGACAUGCGCAAUCAAGCAUCUGUUUCCGCACAACAUCCAGAGGGAAGGAAGACUAUGAAUAUUUUAUUCGAGGAAUACCGUCCCGAGGGCAGAGAAGCCCUAGAGUUGUGCAGAUAGAAGAAACAUGGGUGGACCAUAGGACAUUUGGACUAUCAAUGGGUGUGAACGGUUAUACUAUAUCAAAACAUGUUAUCAACAUGAUGGGCAAAGCUAUCAUUUCAGAACAGCGUGAUGCACAUUUCUUGAAGCAUGUGUUGCAUUCCGAGCUUGGAAAAAUGCUUCAAGGCCCCUCCCCAUGCCGAGAAAGCAUUUCAAACUACCUAUCUGAGCCCAACCAGGGAUUCAAACUCGAAAACAUGGAUGCAGUUCUUGUACCAUUGCUAAAUUCCAAGACUUGGUACCUACUUGUAGCAAAUUUUUGGAAGAGACGGUUCGAGGUAUUGAGCCCAAUGGGGUGCACUGACGAAUUGAUAACACAAGCACAGUCUAUUGUAUGCAACUUCCGGGAAGAUUUUCAUAGUGCAUAUCCUCAGCUCCAUAGCGUAAAAAUCAAAGACAUGGACAUUACCUUCCAUACCAUAUCAAACUCAGACAACGAAUCCGACAGUGGUAUAUUUAUCAUGAAGGCAUUAGAUUUAUAUGAUGGAGAGAAACAUAUCUUCUUUAACGAUUCUGACGCCGAAGGACUCCGUGAACACUUGGCAUUAUAUUUGUUGCACCACAAGUAUAAUGAGAUGCCCCACAGACAUGUACAAGGUUUAGUGGGUCCCUAA